RNAcentral lists this ribosomal RNA (725 nucleotides) under uncultured bacterium. RNAcentral's name for it is "bacterial SSU rRNA". It matches the Rfam family "Bacterial small subunit ribosomal RNA", at positions 771 to 1501 of the family's 1533-position model. The record is from RNAcentral.
AACAGGAUUAGAUACCCUGGUAGUCCACGCCCUAAACGAUGUCAACUGGUUGUUGGGAGGGUUUCUUCUCAGUAACGUAGCUAACGUGUGAAGUUGACCGCCUGGGGAGUACGGCCGCAAGGUUGAAACUCAAAGGAAUUGACGGGGACCCGCACAAGCGGUGGAUGAUGUGGUUUAAUUCGAUGCAACGCGAAAAACCUUACCUACCCUUGACAUGCCAGGAAUCUUGCAGAGAUGUGAGAGUGCUCGAAAGAGAACCUGGACACAGGUGCUGCAUGGCCGUCGUCAGCUCGUGUCGUGAGAUGUUGGGUUAAGUCCCGCAACGAGCGCAACCCUUGUCAUUAGUUGCUACGAAAGGGCACUCUAAUGAGACUGCCGGUGACAAACCGGAGGAAGGUGGGGAUGACGUCAGGUCAUCAUGGCCCUUAUGGGUAGGGCUACACACGUCAUACAAUGGCCGGGACAGAGGGCUGCCAACCCGCGAGGGGGAGCUAAUCCCAGAAACCCGGUCGUAGUCCGGAUCGCAGUCUGCAACUCGACUGCGUGAAGUCGGAAUCGCUAGUAAUCGCGGAUCAGCUUGCCGCGGUGAAUACGUUCCCGGGUCUUGUACACACCGCCCGUCACACCAUGGGAGCGGGUUCUGCCAGAAGUAGUUAGCCUAACCGCAAGGAGGGCGAUUACCACGGCAGGGUUCGUGACUGGGGUGAAGUCGUAACAAGGUAACC